Molecule: transfer RNA, 83 nt
Filed under: Bradyrhizobium sp. OAE829
Lineage: Bacteria; Pseudomonadati; Pseudomonadota; Alphaproteobacteria; Hyphomicrobiales; Nitrobacteraceae
Also listed under: 3 other names
Description: tRNA-Leu
Source: RNAcentral
GCGGCCGUGGUGGAACGGUAGACACCCGCGCUUGAGGGGCGCGCGCCUUGUGCAUCCGAGUUCGAGUCUCGGCGGCCGCACCA